UUGCAAAGUCAUAGUUGUUUUGAAUGAUUCUAGAAAUUAUGAAAAAAUAGAAGAUAUUAUGUUUUAGAAAAUUUUAUGAGUUUGGUAGUAGAUCUAUAGUUCAAAUUUUGAGGACUUAUGUAAAUAGUUGUUUGAAGUGUAUGUUAUAAGUUUGAGCUUGAUCAAAUGGUUGAAUUGAAGAAUAUUGAAUUUCAAAUAGGUUGAGGUCUUGGAAAUUGGACUUUGAGGGGCAAUUAGGGCUUCUAAGUUCUUUACCAAUCUAUUGGUUGGAUUGGAGUGAAAUUUAUAUAUGAAGAUAAUAGACUUGAUUUGAUACAUAAAUAUAAAAUUUUAGAACAAUUGAAUAGUUUAAAAAUGAGAUAUUGGUACUAGAAGUUUAACAUUCAGAUUGGAAUAGAAGGUUGACCAAUAUCCGAGUGGAUUUUAGGAUUUUUCUUUCAUGUGAUAAAUAUGAUUAUGGGUGUUAAAUACUAAUUUAUUUUUUCAAAAGUAAAUAAAAUUUUAAAAAAGAUCAAUUAUUUAGUUGAUAGAUAUUGAGGUUUUUAAUUAUACUAGGAUUAGGUUGAGUUGGUUAGGUUUUGAUUAGGAUUUGAUUUAAGAUUAGGAUUGGAUUGGGAUUUAGGAUUUGAUUUAGGAUUUUUUUAGAGUUUAUGAUUUAAUAUUUCCUUAGAAUUUAGGAUUUAGGAUUUGCUAAGAGUUUAAGAUUUGACCUAGGAUUUCAAUUAGAAUUAAAUUAGAAUUUGUUGAGAUUUAUUUAAGAUAUAUUUAUAAUUAUUCUA
This 779-nucleotide long non-coding RNA is filed under the name Physcomitrium patens. Its description in RNAcentral is "long non-coding RNA (PPAT_LNC009995)". Lineage: Eukaryota; Viridiplantae; Streptophyta; Bryopsida; Funariales; Funariaceae. The record is from RNAcentral.